RNAcentral lists this small RNA (419 nucleotides) under Histoplasma ohiense. RNAcentral's name for it is "hypothetical lncRNA". Lineage: Eukaryota; Fungi; Ascomycota; Eurotiomycetes; Onygenales; Ajellomycetaceae. The record is from RNAcentral.
CUUCUCCAGGAACUCGAUUCCAGUUCCAAGUGGAUCAACUACAUCUUCGGACUUCUGCCUGGCUGGUGGCUAGGCGAGGAAGACAAUCGACCUAACGAGCCAUACGUGAAGCCUGCUCGAUGGGUAGCCGAGCUAGCUCGUGCCAGCUUUGGGAAGCUGGAUGCCGUUUACCAAGACGCAAAUGAACCCUUCCAACUCAACAGCAUUUUUGUUGCAAGGAUGGUGGCAAGCGAAAAGACGGAUAAAAGCAAUAAGGCUGUGUCACUUCUCUGUGAUGGCAACAAGAGUGGUGUUGACGUCUUUUCGCGCGUCCUAGAGGCCAAUGGGUACUCCGUCCAGCCUUUCCAACUUGGCCAGGAAUUUCCAGAAGGCCAAGAUAUCAUCUCCUUGCUGGACAUCGCCUCACCCUUUUUCAAGGA